Long non-coding RNA from Balaenoptera musculus (blue whale), 1179 nucleotides. RefSeq lists it as uncharacterized. The transcript is spliced from 3 exons. NCBI's taxonomy places the organism in Eukaryota, Metazoa, Chordata, Mammalia, Artiodactyla, Balaenopteridae. The record is from RefSeq and is a predicted model, not a curated record.
UAUUGUAUUAAGGUACUAGAAUAUUUGAGGGAAAAGAAAAAACUGGCAAUUCGACAGGAAGCUUUUUAAUGAUGCAAGAUAACUUACGGACAGAAUAAAUUCAACAUACAUUCCCUGUUUAACUUCUUUUGCCACCUAAAGGGGACCUGGAAUUUUAACUUUCCUAUUUGAUCUAAACUCAAAGAAAGCAGGAAGACGCUACAUAUGCGAAUGUUUACUUAUUGCUGAACUCAGGGCUGCAGGAAGUCAGCUACUAAAAAGUGGUUACAUUACGCCUAGAUAUUUAUAAACCAACUGCAACUAGUGACCCAGGAUUCAAUUACAACAUCAUCCCUCAUAUUUCAGCAUAUGGGCAAAUUACCAGUGGAGUCAAGAAUAAAUUCAUUCUGCCCUACUGGCGCUUUAGAUCGGGUUGCACAAUCCCGGGGCAAAACUGCCUUCGCCUAGCCCUAAAAGCAUCAGGUACUGUAGUAAGUUAACGUCAGGACGUUUUAAAGCGAGACGGAAACUCAAGAGUUGCCUGAACCAAUUUAGCCAGCCCAUAAUCCCGAAUUCAGGAAUUUGUCACGUCACUUGAGAUCAGAAUGAAAUUAAGUUUUGAUCCCUUUGAGAUCUCUUAGCGCACAAAGUCAGGCUCCUAUCACUGCAAGGGGAAUCCGACCCUGGCUCGAGAAAAACUUGUGGAACUCGUGUCCUUUCCGCCCACCGUGGGGGGGCCGCACCGGUCGGAUCGGGCGAGGAGCCCGGGCGCUAGUUUGGGGGCGCAGCGGGGCCCGGCGGGGGCGGCGAGCGCGCGUCCCCCCGCCCGCUCAGGCGGCGUCGAGGCGCGAGCAGCUCAGCCAGCCUUGCAGAGGGAGCUCUCGGCAGCUCUGGGGUCCCUCUACUCGCAGCCGCAGCAGCGCCGCCUGCGCCACUCGGUGGAGACGGACACCAGCGGCGGCGACGCGCGGACUGGGAGCGACCGCGGAGCAGCCGGGCGGCGGGGGACGCUCGCAAGGCCGCAGGGAAAUGGUGAUGUGUUCUACUUCAUGAAAUUGGCCCCAAAGACCAAGAAACGGAAAGCCAAACCAACAGGAUAGGCUGUUUCAUGCUGGACAGAAACAAGCUUUGAAUACAUGAGGAAGAAGAGCGGGAGACUGGAGGAAAGGUAAGGUUAGAAGAGGGCAAAAGGAAAAGAGG